AGAACGAACGCUGGCGGCAUGCCUAACACAUGCAAGUCGAACGAGACCUUCGGGUCUAGUGGCGCACGGGUGCGUAACGCGUGGGAAUCUGCCCUUGGGUUCGGGAUAACAGUUGGAAACGACUGCUAAUACCGGAUGAUGACUUCGGUACCAAAGAUUUAUCGCCCAGGGAUGACGCCCG
This 181-nucleotide ribosomal RNA is filed under the name uncultured soil bacterium. RNAcentral describes it as "partial 16S ribosomal RNA". It matches the Rfam family "Bacterial small subunit ribosomal RNA", at positions 26 to 233 of the family's 1533-position model. The record is from RNAcentral.